RNAcentral lists this long non-coding RNA (970 nucleotides) under Pan troglodytes (chimpanzee). Its description in RNAcentral is "long non-coding RNA NONPTRT005611". Lineage: Eukaryota; Metazoa; Chordata; Mammalia; Primates; Hominidae. The record is from RNAcentral.
CCCAGCCUCACGCUGUCUGAUCCGCCAAACCUCAGCAACCUGGAGGAGUUCCCUCCCGUAGGCUCGGUUUCCCCCGGCCCUACAGGCAGGACGAAGCCUUCUCGCAGGAUCAACCCAACUCCGGUGAGCGAAGAGCGGUCACUCUCCAAGCCCAAGACCUGCUUCACCUCACCCCCAAUCAGCUGUGUCCCCAGUUCCCAACCCUCAGUCCUGGACACUAGCCCUUGGGGCCUUGGCCUUCCCCCAGGGUGCAGAAGUCUGCAAGAGGAGCGAGAGAUGCUCAGGAAGGAGCGCUCUAAGCAGCUGCAGCAGUCACCUACCCCCACCUGUCCCACCCCAGAAUUGGGGUCGCCCCUCCCCAGACGGACAGGAAGCCUCACAGAUGAACCUGCGGACCCUGCCAGAGUGUCUUCCCGCCAGCGCCUGGAGCUUGUAGCCCUUGUUUACUCCUCGUGCAUUGCUGGUGAGUGAGAGCAGAGGGAGCUGGAGUGGAGACACUUGUAGAACUUAUGGGUAAGAGAAUUGGUAAGGCACUUGGAACUGAGCCUUGGCUCCAAAUGGUGCCCAUACCAUGGGCUUUCUUUUUGUAUCUAUCUAGAGAACCUGGUACCAAACCUCUUCUUGGAGCUUUUCUUCGUCUUUCAGCUCCUCACUGCCCGGAGGAUGGUGACUGCCAAGGACAGUGACCCUGAACUAAGUCCAGCUGUCCUAGGUCAGUGAGCAAGCCUCCUUUUGAGACAUGGGGUCUAGAAACGGGACCGUUCUUAACUGACAGCUUGGUACUGUCCUUCUAGAUUCCCUGGAAAGUCCACUGUUCCAAAGCAUCCACGAUUGUGUCUUCUUUGCAGUGCAGGUUUUGGAGUGUCACUUUCAGUGAGUUUCCCUGGCUGAGGCAUUUGGGCCUCAUUCUCAUCAUCUGCUUAGCUCUCUGGCUGCUUGGGAUAUAUGCUGGUGCUUAACACAGGGGCAG